CUCAGAGGGGACUCUGAGAGUGGGAGCACUGCAGAAGCUGUCCUGAGAUCAGGUGCCUGCUCCCCGACCACAGCUUGCUGUCUGCUCUCCAGAGCAGCUGAGAAAGCCCCACCCCUGGGCUGGGCCUGCAGGGGGCUGGGAGUAGGUAGGAGUCUUAAGCUUCCCUUGCCCAGGUCAGGCCUCUCAAAAGCUGCAAAUUCUUGGGACCCAUGGCCCCGACCACUUGUUGCUGUCCUCCUAGGUGUGGGGGGGGCCUGACCCUGAAGCAUACUCGCUAGGAAUCCUUUGGUUAAUGACUCACUCGCCUGUAGCCAAGCUAGAAUUUUCCUUUUCCCACCCCUCCGGCCCCAAGAAAUCCAGCUGAGCCACCUGGAGUGAGCCUGAGUCCUGUCCCUGAAGGCCAAGGACUGUCCACAACUUAAAGGUUGGAUUUGGUGGAAAGAAACUGUGAGGCGACACUUUCCACCUCUGCUGCCUUUCGCCAUGGCAGGACAGACCCCAGAAAGCAGAGGUCUUCCAGAAAAGCCGGACCCUGCCUCGACCGCUGCCACUCUGUCCUCCAUGGGUGCUGUCUUCAUCCUCUUAAAGUCUGCGCUGGGAGCUGGCCUGCUCAACUUUCCCUGGGCCUUCUCCAAAGCUGGUGGAGUGGUCCCUGCCUUGCUGGUGGAGCUGGUGUCCUUGGUCUUCCUGGUCAGUGGGCUGGUCAUCCUGGGCUAUGCUGCUGCUGUCAGUGGCCAGGCCACCUACCAGGGUGUGGUUAGGGGACUGUGUGGCCCCGCCAUUGGGAAGCUGUGUGAGGCCUGCUUCCUCGUCAACCUGCUCAUGAUCUCUGUGGCCUUCCUCAGGGUGAUCGGGGACCAGCUGGAGAAGCUGUGUGACUCCCUCCUGUCUGGCACACCUCCCACUCCACGGCCCUGGUACGCAGACCAGCGCUUUACCCUGCCCCUGCUCUCCACGCUGGUCAUCCUGCCCCUGUCCACCCCACGGGAGAUCGCCUUCCAGAAAUACACAAGCAUCCUAGGUACGCUGGCCGCCUGUUACCUGGCCCUCGUCAUCACAGUGCAGUACUACCUCUGGCCCCAGGGCCUCAUGCGUGAGCCCGGUCCUUCACUGAGCCCUGCCUCCUGGACCUCUGUGUUCAGCGUCUUCCCCACCAUCUGCUUCGGGUUUCAGUGUCACGAAGCCGCGGUCUCCAUCUACUGUAGCAUGCGUAAGCGGAGCCUCUCGCACUGGGCCCUGGUCUCCCUGCUGUCCUUGCUGGGCUGCUGCCUCAUCUAUUCACUGACCGGGGUUUAUGGCUUCCUGACCUUUAGGACAGAAGUUUCUGCUGAUGUCUUGAUGUCCUACCCAGGCAACAACACAGUCAUAAUUGUGGCCCGGGUUCUUUUUGCUGUCUCCAUCGUAACUGUCUACCCCAUCGUGCUUUUCCUGGGCAGGUCGGUGAUGCAGGACUUCUGGAAGAGGAGCUGCUGGGGGGCGCGGGGGCCCAGGGCCCUGACUGACCCCUCGGGGCUGUGGGUCCGGAUGCCGCUGACCAUCCUCUGGGUCACCGUGACACUCUCCAUGGCGCUGUUUAUACCCGACCUCAGCGAGAUCGUUAGCAUCAUCGGAGGCGUCAGUUCCUUCUUUAUCUUCAUCUUCCCAGGUUUGUGCCUCAUCUGCGCAAUGGGCGUCGAGCCUGUGGGACCGAGAGUCAAAUGAGGAGGCAGGCCAGGAGGACAGCGCUAUGAUAUAACCCAGGCCCCUGGCUCCCAGGCGCUGUGCUACCCACUUGUGUUGCAUACCAUGCUCUUGAGAUGAGAGAAUUUGGAUCUUUAUUUGACAAGUUAUCCCUGUGGACCAGACACGACUGAGGAGCCUCUGUACUUUGCCACUGAGCUGCUGAGUCUGACUCACUGAAAAAGACAAUGUGUGCGUGACUGAUACACCCUUUCUCUGACGGCCCUGGGGAGCCUGAGGGUCUCUGUGACUCCCUCCCAUUCCACAGAUGUGGAAACUGAGGCUGAGGCAGGUGCUGCCUGGAGGUCUGGGGAGUGGUCUCUGUGCUGGUCGGCACCUUCAUCUUCGGACAGAGCACAGUGGCAGCGGUCUGGGAGAUGAUUUGAUGGAUGCUGGAGGGACUGAUGCCUUCUGCCUCCUUGGGCUGCUCAUUGGGCUGUGCUGGUUCGAAGGGUUUCUUGUACCAAGGUUAGGCAACUGAGGCUUGGAAAAAUCGAGGCCACUUGUCCUGCAAGGUACGGAGAUCAGAUCAGAAGUGAUUUGAUGUUAAAUUCCUUUUCUUCCCACUCUACACGCCAUGGUGAGGAGGCGCCAGAGUUGGGGGGCAGAUGGCAGGGGCAGGGUGUGGGAGUAGGUGCCUGGCCCUGGGGCUCCUGCAGCCUGGCUGCUGGGGGAUGGUGAAGUGAGGCUGCGGGUGUAGACUCUAACCCUGUGGGGGUGUUGGGAGGGUACCCAGGACCCUCCUUCCAUCUCUGACCAAGCCCAGCAUGACCUGCCACACGCUGUGUUCCAAGGCCACAGCAUCUUCCCAGGCAAGGGCCUUGGGAAUUGUGACACGUGCAGGCAGAUCGAACUAUUUAUUUUUAUUUCUUGGUAGAGUCUCGGAGUCUCACUCUGUUGACCAGGUUGGAGUGUAGUAGCACGAUCUUGGCUCACGGCAACCUUACUGUCCAGGUUCAAGCGAUUCUUCUGCCUCAGCUUGGGAUUACAGGCAUCCGCCAUGCCCGGCUAAUUUUUGUAUGUUUAGUAGAGACGGGGUUUCACCAUGUUAGCGAGGCUGGUCUCAGACUCCAGACCUGAGGUGAUCCAUUUGCCUCGAACUUUCAAAGUGCUGGGAUUACAGGUGUGAGCCACCAUGCCAGGCCUGGUUUUUUUUUUUGUUUUUUUUUUUUUUUGAGAGAGGUAUCACUGUGUCACUCAGGCUCAGUGCAGUGGCACUAUCACUGCUCACUGCAGCCUCCAACUCCUGGGCUCAAGCAGUCCUUCCACUUUAGUCUCCCAAGUAGCUAGGACCACAGGUGUGCACCACCAUGCCCGGCUAAUUUUUGUAAUUCGUUGUAGAGUCAGGG
Callithrix jacchus (white-tufted-ear marmoset) is the source of this 3068-nucleotide non-coding RNA. The record is from RefSeq and is a predicted model, not a curated record. Lineage: Eukaryota; Metazoa; Chordata; Mammalia; Primates; Cebidae.